RNAcentral lists this ribosomal RNA (253 nucleotides) under uncultured bacterium. RNAcentral describes it as "partial 16S ribosomal RNA". It matches the Rfam family "Bacterial small subunit ribosomal RNA", at positions 524 to 776 of the family's 1533-position model. The record is from RNAcentral.
GACGGAAGGUGCAAGCGUUGCUCGGAAUCACUGGGCGUAAAGGGUGCGUAGGCGGCUUGGUGGGUCUGGUGUGAAAGCCCCGGGCUCAGCCCGGGAAGGGCACUAGAAACUGCCGAGCUGGAGUGCCGGAGGGGAGAGUGGAAUUCCUGGUGUAGCGGUGAAAUGCGUAGAUAUCAGGAGGAAUACCAAUAGCGAAGGCAGCUCGCUGGGACGGUACUGACGCUAAGGCGCGAAAGCGUGGGGAGCGAACAGG